GAUGAACGCUGGCGGCGUGCCUAAUACAUGCAAGUCGAGCGAACAGACGAGGAGCUUGCUCCUCUCACGUUAGCGGCGGACGGGUGAGUAACACGUGGAUAACCUACCUAUAAGAGUGGGAUAAGUUCGGGAAACCGGAGCUAAGACCGGAUAAUAUAUUGAACCGCAUGGUUCAAUAGUGAAAGACGGUUUUGCUGUCCCCUAUAGAUAGCUCCGUGCUGGAUUGGUUAGUUGGUAAGGUAACGGCUUACCAAGGCAACGAUGCGUAGCCGACCGGGGAAGGUGAUCGGCCACUCGGGAAGUGGGACACCGUCCAGGCUCCGACGGAAGGCACCGGUACCGAAUCUACGGAAAAGGGCGAAAGCCUGAAGGAGCAGCGCAAGGUGAAUGAUGAAGGGCUUCGGAUCGUAAAACUCUGUUAUUAUGGAAGAACAAAUGUGUAAGGGACGAAGCUCUUCUUGACGGUACCUAGUCAGAAAGCCACGGCUAACUACGUG
This 497-nucleotide ribosomal RNA is filed under the name uncultured bacterium. Its description in RNAcentral is "partial 16S ribosomal RNA". It matches the Rfam family "Bacterial small subunit ribosomal RNA", at positions 28 to 507 of the family's 1533-position model. The record is from RNAcentral.